This 961-nucleotide ribosomal RNA is filed under the name Clostridium sp. HV4-5-A1G. Its description in RNAcentral is "bacterial SSU rRNA". It matches the Rfam family "Bacterial small subunit ribosomal RNA", at positions 571 to 1533 of the family's 1533-position model. Lineage: Bacteria; Bacillati; Bacillota; Clostridia; Eubacteriales; Clostridiaceae. The record is from RNAcentral.
GCAGGCGGACAUUUAAGUGAGAUGUGAAAUACCCGGGCUUAACCCGGGCAGUGCAUUUCAAACUGGGUGUCUGGAGUGCAGGAGAGGAGAACGGAAUUCCUAGUGUAGCGGUGAAAUGCGUAGAGAUUAGGAAGAACACCAGUGGCGAAGGCGGUUCUCUGGACUGUAACUGACGCUGAGGCACGAAAGCGUGGGUAGCAAACAGGAUUAGAUACCCUGGUAGUCCACGCCGUAAACGAUGAGUACUAGGUGUAGGAGGUAUCGACCCCUUCUGUGCCGCAGUAAACACAAUAAGUACUCCGCCUGGGAAGUACGAUCGCAAGAUUAAAACUCAAAGGAAUUGACGGGGGCCCGCACAAGCAGCGGAGCAUGUGGUUUAAUUCGAAGCAACGCGAAGAACCUUACCUGGACUUGACAUCCCCUGCAUAUCUCAGAGAUGAGAGAAGCCCUUCGGGGCAGGGAGACAGGUGGUGCAUGGUUGUCGUCAGCUCGUGUCGUGAGAUGUUAGGUUAAGUCCUGCAACGAGCGCAACCCCUGUUGUUAGUUGCUAACAGUAAGAUGAGCACUCUAACGAGACUGCCGCGGUUAACGCGGAGGAAGGUGGGGAUGACGUCAAAUCAUCAUGCCCCUUAUGUCCAGGGCAACACACGUGCUACAAUGGGCAGAACAGAGAGAAGCAAGGCCGCGAGGUGGAGCGAACCUCAAAAACUGUUCCCAGUUCGGAUUGCAGGCUGAAACCCGCCUGCAUGAAGCUGGAGUUGCUAGUAAUCGCGAAUCAGCAUGUCGCGGUGAAUACGUUCCCGGGCCUUGUACACACCGCCCGUCACACCAUGAGAGCCGGCAACACCCGAAGUCCGUAGUCUAACGAAAGAGGACGCGGCCGAAGGUGGGGUUGGUGAUUGGGGUGAAGUCGUAACAAGGUAGCCGUAGGAGAACCUGCGGCUGGAUCACCUCCUUUCUA